Hemicordylus capensis (graceful crag lizard) is the source of this 1814-nucleotide long non-coding RNA. RefSeq lists it as uncharacterized. NCBI's taxonomy places the organism in Eukaryota, Metazoa, Chordata, Lepidosauria, Squamata, Cordylidae. The record is from RefSeq and is a predicted model, not a curated record. The transcript has 5 exons.
GCCAAAGGGGGAGACGGUUAAUGCGCGCGCAGGAAUAACGGGCAGAGGAAAGAGCGUCCGGUUGCGCCCGCGCGCUGACUGGCCUUAAAUAUCCCUUACGAGGGUGGGCGGGGCUUGUUACCUUGUUGACGGCGGCGUGUUCCCGCAGAGCCAGGUCCCAGAAGCGGCAGCCGAUCUGGUUUCCGCAUUGACCCACUGCAGGGGAAUGAGGGAUAGAAUAAUUUAAAAAAACAACACGAUCAGGUGAUCGGUCGCAUAGACUGGGGAGAGUGGGGCAAGCAGGGAGGCCCGCGGCAUGGGGAGAAGAGCAAUAAUGGAAAAAGAGGCUAAACGUGCUCACCCUGUAUCACUACUGACUGCGUCAUGGCCGCUGUUUGCGAGGCACCUGUCGCUAGGGCUACUUGAAUCAAUAACCCUGCCCGCCUAGAGUGGGCCGCCCGAAAGCACCUCGGGGGAGAGUGGACUCCAGGCGUCCCGUUCCCAGGCUGAGCGGCGCAUGCGCGAGUCGCGACGCCUCUACCAGCAACCUGGACGCUAAUGCAGCGGAGAACAGACGCCUUGGGUUCUUACUAGGAGCGCACGCGCCGCACUGCCUAACGGCCCCGCCCCUGCUCUUUUCCGCUCUCCCGGUUCUAACGGCGGCUUGCCUGAAGUCACCGCUCAGUCACGCACACCCUCGUUUACUUGGAGGUGUGUUGACCUUCAGAUAUCAGAAAGCACUAGUCUGUUACAAAGUUUCAGGUACUUGCUUUCAAGCCUGAGGGCAGGAAGCUUAGAGGUGACCUUCCCCCUUGCCCCUGUGCAGGUGGUAAAAUGUAAAGUGAAGCAGAAGGAAAGCUUGAUUGCAUCCACAAAUUGAUUGGAAGAGACAGCCUUGACCUUUUGUAAGACUGUUUCACAUGAAACUUUGAAAGAUGGAUCUCAUUAACUCCUUGCUGCCUGCAUCCAUGGCUCCAUCUACAGAAUCCUAAGAAAUUUUUAUUAAAAGUGUUGUACAGGACCUUGUAGUUUUGUCAUUCACCAGCUUUUCAGGUGGCAGGACAUACGUUGAUGCUCACAGCACCACUAACCAAAGCUGCCUUACUGAAACUCACUGGCCUUUCAUCAAUCAUAAAGUUGCGAAUGCAUCCAGUAAAGGAAUUGCGUGUGGUCAGGCUGAAUGUCAGGAGAGAAUCUGCAAAGAGAGUCGUAGGGGAAAUGUCGUUCCAAGAGUGGGAUUUUUCUGAAUCAUUCCUCCAGCAUGGCUUGAGGCCAGAAUGUGGCAUCGUGCCAGAGUGAAGGCCCUCCUGUGCUUUGGGACUUCCAGUUGUGUUAGAUACGUCAUGGGAGAGGCAGAGUACCUGGGACCUUCACUGAUGAAGUUCAGAGCCCUGCCUAGGCACAACAGACACAGACAGCGUAUCCUUUUGAGAUUCACCAAAGUCGCCCUUCCUAGGAAAGAAGAACAACUGGAAAGUUGCCUCAGGACAUAUUUUGGGCUAUAACUGGCCCUGGUUCCAUCCCUGAGGAAAGAGAUCCUUCAGUUGCAUCUGAGCCACGAGGGGCCAAUCACCACUAAAGGAAGGACGAGGUUGUAUGAUCAUCACUGCUCUCCCUAUCCCUGCUUUCUUUCUUAAAUCCAAAAACCUGUUUCUCUCAAACCUCCUUUCUUUAGCCAGCCUGGAAGUCAUUUUAAUUUGGACACUAAGCUAAAUUUCCUCUUUGCAGUUAUCUGGUUAAUCUUGUAACGUAUUUUUGGUAGUAAUAUUGUUUUAAUCAACUUUCUUAUUCCACUGUACUCCUGAAACCCAAAUAAACCCUUUCUUUGUUUUGGG